RNAcentral lists this ribosomal RNA (594 nucleotides) under Lycodon capucinus. RNAcentral's name for it is "partial 12S ribosomal RNA". The record is from RNAcentral. Lineage: Eukaryota; Metazoa; Chordata; Lepidosauria; Squamata; Colubridae.
AGUCUACCAGUUAGGAACGAAACCCCAUCGGGCUGUAGAAAGCCAUAAACUACAAUAAACCCCAACCUAACAAUAACAACUUCCACUCGUGAAAGCUGGGACACAAACUAAGAUUAGAUACCUUACUAUGCCCAGCCAUAACACAACAAUAAGCCACCCAUUGUUCGCCAAACAACUACGAGUGAAAACUUAAAACUUAAAAGACUUGACGGUACCCCACAACAGCCUAGAGGAGCCUGUUCAAUAACCGAUACCCCACGAUUAACCCAACCCCCUCUCGCCCACCAGCCUAUAUACCGCCGUCGCCAGCCUACCUUAUGAAAGAAACAAAGUAAGCCAAAUAGUCCAACACUAGCACGACAGGUCGAGGUGUAGCUCAUGGGGGGGACUAGAAUGGGCUACAUUAUCUACAAAGAUAUGCGAAUAAACUCUGAAACAAGAAACUGAAGGAGGAUUUAGCAGUACACUAAGAACAACAAUACCUAGUCGAAACUCAAUGCAAUGGGGUGCGUACACACCGCCCGUCAUCCCUGUCAACCAACCCAAACAUCCAUAAUAAUAAUAACCACUUUAAGCAGGGCAAGUCGUAACAUG